GGCCUUUUGAAUUUAAUUUAAGGUCUGACCUGCCCAGUGAUGAAUUUAACGGCCGCGGUAUAUUGACCGUGCAAAGGUAGCAUAAUCAUUAGUCUUUUAAUAGAGGGCUGGAAUGAAUGGUUUAACGAGGAACUAGCUGUCUCAUUUUAUUUGUUUUAGAAUUUAAUUUUUUAGUUAAAAAGCUAAAAUUUUAUUGGAAGACGAGAAGACCCUAUAGAUCUUUAUAUAAUUUUAUUUAUUUAUUUAUAUAUUAAUGUAAUUAUAUUUAAAUUAUAUUUUGUUGGGGUGACAAAAAUAUAUAAUUAACUUUUUCAUUUAUUUACCAUUUAUAUAUGAGUAUUAGAUCCAUUUUUAGUGAUUGUUAGAAUAAGUUACCUUAGGGAUAACAGCGUAAUCCUCCUCCAGAGUUCAUAUUUACAGGAGGGCUUGCGACCUCGAUGUUGGAUUAAGAUAAUAAUUAGGUGUAGCCGCUUAAUAUAUAGGUCUGUUCGACCUUUAAAUUCUU
This 505-nucleotide ribosomal RNA is filed under the name Sympetrum depressiusculum. RNAcentral's name for it is "partial 16S rRNA". It matches the Rfam family "Bacterial large subunit ribosomal RNA", at positions 1819 to 2597 of the family's 2925-position model. The record is from RNAcentral. Lineage: Eukaryota; Metazoa; Arthropoda; Insecta; Odonata; Libellulidae.